GAUGAACGCUAGCGGCAGGCUUAAUACAUGCAAGUCGUGGGGCAGCACAGUCCGCCGAAAGGCGGAUGGGUGGCGACCGGCAAACGGGUGCGGAACACGUACGCAACCUUCCUACAGGCGGGGAAUAGCCCAGAGAAAUUUGGAUUAAUACCCCAUAAAAUUUUAAGUAUGGCAUCAUCUUAUUAUUAAAGCUUCGGCACCUGAAGAUGGGCGUGCGGCUGAUUAGGUAGNGGUCGGGGUAACGGGCCCACCCAAGCCUGCGAUCAGUAGCUGAUGUGAGA
RNAcentral lists this ribosomal RNA (281 nucleotides) under uncultured bacterium. RNAcentral's name for it is "partial 16S ribosomal RNA". It matches the Rfam family "Bacterial small subunit ribosomal RNA", at positions 28 to 297 of the family's 1533-position model. The record is from RNAcentral.